GCAUUCAGCCAUACAGUCUUGAAUGCUCCUGAUCUCAUUUGAUCUCAGAAGCUAAGCAGGGUUGGGCCUGGUUAAUACCUGGACAGGAGAAACGUCAUUUCUUUAUCAAUAAUUGCUGCUUGUU
This is a ribosomal RNA of Mesocricetus auratus (golden hamster), 124 nucleotides long. The record is from Ensembl. NCBI's taxonomy places the organism in Eukaryota, Metazoa, Chordata, Mammalia, Rodentia, Cricetidae.